UAAACGGAUGCGAUGACGAUCGGCUGGA
Molecule: small RNA, 28 nt
Filed under: Bombyx mori (domestic silkworm)
Lineage: Eukaryota; Metazoa; Arthropoda; Insecta; Lepidoptera; Bombycidae
Description: piRNA piR-bmo-1786118
Source: RNAcentral